Long non-coding RNA from Etheostoma spectabile (orangethroat darter), 123 nucleotides. RefSeq lists it as uncharacterized. The record is from RefSeq and is a predicted model, not a curated record. The transcript is spliced from 3 exons. NCBI's taxonomy places the organism in Eukaryota, Metazoa, Chordata, Actinopteri, Perciformes, Percidae.
AAACACAAACCGAUGGUUGUAUUGUGGUGCAAUUGAUAACAUGAAUGGCUUUAUGCCAUAUUUCAAUAUAAAAAUUAUUGGUAUUUCAGAGGAGAUAUAAAAUGUGUUAAAUUAAGUUUGUGU